Non-coding RNA from Caenorhabditis elegans, 150 nucleotides. The record is from Ensembl. Lineage: Eukaryota; Metazoa; Nematoda; Chromadorea; Rhabditida; Rhabditidae.
CUACCGCCUUGGAAACGUUUUUAAGGCAAUAGGGCGAGAGCAGCAUCCCUAUGGGCUGAGCUUUUCAACCUACCAUAAGCUGCUCCUUGCAUUAUAUUUUUUGCCUUGUGGCCACACUCUUGGUAGAACAUUCUAGCGUGAUUUGCAGUC